UGAGAACAGAAUUUGGUACAUUGUUAGAAUUCUUGGGUGAUUCCUUCUAGGCAGGCAGAGCCACAAUAUUUAUCCUGUGAUGAGUCCUGAUCAUCAAAUAGCCAAUGAAGAAAAAAAAUAGAAGAGAAAAAAAAUUACAUAAUGUGCAAAUGCUGCUUCCACUACAUGAAAAUUAUUCUCCUUAAGUAAAAGAACUUUACAUAAAAUCAAGUAAAUUAAUGUAGGCAUCCCUUUCAUCACCAUUUUGCAGUACCAUGUAUGGCUUCAUGACUCAAAAGGCAAUCAAGGUGACCAAACUUAUAAUGGAUUGCACAACCAAAAACGGAGAGAAACAAGAUACAAAGAGUGGGAUGUUUGGAGGCA
RNAcentral lists this long non-coding RNA (363 nucleotides) under Anas platyrhynchos platyrhynchos (common mallard). RNAcentral describes it as "lncRNA (ENSAPLG00000023551.1)". The record is from RNAcentral. Lineage: Eukaryota; Metazoa; Chordata; Aves; Anseriformes; Anatidae.